RNAcentral lists this ribosomal RNA (393 nucleotides) under uncultured Lachnospiraceae bacterium. RNAcentral describes it as "bacterial SSU rRNA". It matches the Rfam family "Bacterial small subunit ribosomal RNA", at positions 355 to 762 of the family's 1533-position model. Lineage: Bacteria; Bacillati; Bacillota; Clostridia; Lachnospirales; Lachnospiraceae. The record is from RNAcentral.
UGGGGAAUAUUGCACAAUGGGGGGAAACCCUGAUGCAGCGACGCCGCGUGAGCGAAGAAGUAUUUCGGUAUGUAAAGCUCUAUCAGCAGGGAAGAAGAAAUGACGGUACCUGACUAAGAAGCCCCGGCUAACUACGUGCCAGCAGCCGCGGUAAUACGUAGGGGGCAAGCGUUAUCCGGAUUUACUGGGUGUAAAGGGAGCGCAGACGGCAUGGCAAGCCAGAUGUGAAAGGUGGGGGCUCAACCCCCAAGCUGCAUUUGGAACUGUCAAGCUAGAGUAUCGGAGAGGUAAGUGGAAUUCCUAGUGUAGCGGUGAAAUGCGUAGAUAUUAGGAGGAACACCAGUGGCGAAGGCGGCUUACUGGACGAUAACUGACGUUGAGGCUCGAAAGCGU